RNAcentral lists this long non-coding RNA (406 nucleotides) under Sus scrofa (pig). Its description in RNAcentral is "lncRNA (ENSSSCG00015044943.1)". The record is from RNAcentral. Lineage: Eukaryota; Metazoa; Chordata; Mammalia; Artiodactyla; Suidae.
GGGGCGGGGCAGGCUGUGACUAGAGACAGUGAAACUCCGCGCGCUGGUGCCCGCCGCCUCCUGGGAAAGGCACUGUCCACAGCUCGACGGUCUGGCCUCACAGUCCAGGGACUACAUUUCCCAGAGAGCCUUGCGGACAGAGCCGGUCUUGCGCACUUUUCACUUCCGGACGCGGAAGGUUGUCGUGGAAACGCAGACGCUGCCGCGACCUCUUUCUUACCUUCUUGCGCGUGAGCAUGCACUAUGGUAAGGAGGGGGGGUGGGGGUGGCGACAAGGAACGGGAAGUAAUCCUUGGGCAACCGGAGGCUCCCGGGUCAGGGUCCCAGGGGUAGUUGCUUUUGGUUCCUGCGUGGCGUUGUUCCGCGCUGGCCCGCGUGGCUCCCGGAGGCGGUGAGUCCGGGCGCA